GUAGGUGGCAAGCGUUGUCCGGAAUUAUUGGGCGUAAAGCGCGCGCAGGCGGUUCUUUAAGUCUGAUGUGAAAGCCCACGGCUCAACCGUGGAGGGUCAUUGGAAACUGGAGAACUUGAGUACAGAAGAGGAAAGCGGAAUUCCACGUGUAGCGGUGAAAUGCGUAGAGAUGUGGAGGAACACCAGUGGCGAAGGCGGCUUUCUGGUCUGUAACUGACGCUGAGGCGCGAAAGCGUGGGGAGCAAACAGGAUUAGAUACCCUGGUAGUCCACGCCGUAAACGAUGAGUGCUAAGUGUUAGGGGGGUUUUCCGCCCCCCUUAGUGCUGCAGCUAACGCAUUAAGCACUCCGCCUGGGAGUACGGCCGCAAGGCCG
Molecule: ribosomal RNA, 374 nt
Filed under: uncultured organism
Description: partial 16S ribosomal RNA
Rfam family: Bacterial small subunit ribosomal RNA
Source: RNAcentral